Long non-coding RNA from Cebus imitator (Panamanian white-faced capuchin), 806 nucleotides. RefSeq lists it as uncharacterized. The transcript has 5 exons. The record is from RefSeq and is a predicted model, not a curated record. NCBI's taxonomy places the organism in Eukaryota, Metazoa, Chordata, Mammalia, Primates, Cebidae.
AGUUUUGCCCAUUCAGUGAAAUGUUAGCUGUGGGUUUGUCAUGGCUAGCUCUCAUCAUUGUGGCACUUCCAACUAGAAGGGCAAGAGUGGCCAGUGUUACCUGAAAGACACUACCCAAAGCAGUCCUUCACUACAGUGGCAGACAGUCCUGAAAAUUUUCACCUAAAGCAGCAGAGUGAACUGUAGAGUCAGGUCACCAACCAGUAUGAAGGCUAAAAGCAGGCCUCUUUGGGAAUUCCAGGUGAAAGUGUUGAACAUCUGUAUUAUUCUGGGUCUCAAAUCAUCCUGAUAUUCUUCAUUCUGUUUUUCACAUUGGACUAGGGCAAGGAAAUGAGUCUGCAGGAACAAAGAUCACCACAACUGGCUCCCCCUCAACUACGUUAGAUGGCAACUUGCCUUCAGUAUGGUGAAACACAUCAGUUAAGACUGGUGUUGUGCCUGGCAGGACUUUCUACAAGGACACCCAAUCUCUUUAAUAAACAUGAGAUGCUGUUUCCAGUUCUCUUGCCUGACACAGCAUAGGAAGAUGCUGAACAGCCACAUUGCAAUCCACUGAGACAGAAUCUCACUAUGUUGACCAGGCUGGUCUUGAACUCUUGGCUCCCAAGCGAUCCUUUUGCCUGGAUUCCCAAAGUGUCAGAUUUACUGAAGAAUAUUUUAUUGUAAUUACUUUUUAUACUUCAUAGGUCAAGAGCUCUGUUUUAAAGAUAAUAUCUAUUGAAUAUACUUUUUAAAACAAACUUUCAUGUUCUAAUCAUUGCAUGAUUUCAGUAUUAAAUGAAACACAGUAAUGAACUUUGGGCUGA